AGAGUUUGAUCCUGGCUCAGGAUGAACGCCGGCGGUGUGCCUAAUACAUGCAAGUCGUACGCACUGGCCCAACUGAUUGAUGGUGCUUGCACCUGAUUGACGAUGGAUCACCAGUGAGUGGCGGACGGGUGAGUAACACGUAGGUAACCUGCCUCGGAGCGGGGGAUAACAUUUGGAAACAGAUGCUAAUACCGCAUAACAACAAAAGCCACAUGGCUUUUGUUUGAAAGAUGGCUUUGGCUAUCACUCUGGGAUGGACCUGCGGUGCAUUAGCUAGUUGGUAAGGUAACGGCUUACCAAGGCAAUGAUGCAUAGCCGAGUUGAGAGACUGAUCGGCCACAAUGGAACUGAGACACGGUCCAUACUCCUACGGGAGGCAGCAGUAGGGAAUCUUCCACAAUGGGCGCAAGCCUGAUGGAGCAACACCGCGUGAGUGAAGAAGGGUUUCGGCUCGUAAAGCUCUGUUGUUGGGGAAGAACGUGCGUGAGAGUAACUGUUCACGCAGUGACGGUAUCCAACCAGAAAGUCACGGCUAACUACGUGCCAGCAGCCGCGGUAAUACGUAGGUGGCAAGCGUUAUCCGGAUUUAUUGGGCGUAAAGCGAGCGCAGGCGGUUGCUUAGGUCUGAUGUGAAAGCCUUCGGCUUAACCGAAGAAGUGCAUCGGAAACCGGGCGACUUGAGUGCAGAAGAGGACAGUGGAACUCCAUGUGUAGCGGUGGAAUGCGUAGAUAUAUGGAAGAACACCAGUGGCGAAGGCGGCUGUCUGGUCUGCAACUGACGCUGAGGCUCGAAAGCAUGGGUAGCGAACAGGAUUAGAUACCCUGGUAGUCCAUGCCGUAAACGAUGAGUGCUAGGUGUUGGAGGGUUUCCGCCCUUCAGUGCCGGAGCUAACGCAUUAAGCACUCCGCCUGGGGAGUACGACCGCAAGGUUGAAACUCAAAGGAAUUGACGGGGGCCCGCACAAGCGGUGGAGCAUGUGGUUUAAUUCGAAGCUACGCGAAGAACCUUACCAGGUCUUGACAUCUUGCGCUAACCUUAGAGAUAAGGCGUUCCCUUCGGGGACGCAAUGACAGGUGGUGCAUGGUCGUCGUCAGCUCGUGUCGUGAGAUGUUGGGUUAAGUCCCGCAACGAGCGCAACCCUUGUUACUAGUUGCCAGCAUUAAGUUGGGCACUCUAGUGAGACUGCCGGUGACAAACCGGAGGAAGGUGGGGACGACGUCAGAUCAUCAUGCCCCUUAUGACCUGGGCUACACACGUGCUACAAUGGACGGUACAACGAGUCGCAAGCUCGCGAGAGUAAGCUAAUCUCUUAAAGCCGUUCUCAGUUCGGACUGUAGGCUGCAACUCGCCUACACGAAGUCGGAAUCGCUAGUAAUCGCGGAUCAGCAUGCCGCGGUGAAUACGUUCCCGGGCCUUGCACACACCGCCCGUCA
RNAcentral lists this ribosomal RNA (1434 nucleotides) under uncultured bacterium. RNAcentral's name for it is "bacterial SSU rRNA". It matches the Rfam family "Bacterial small subunit ribosomal RNA". The record is from RNAcentral.